GGUUAAGCGACUAAGCGUACACGGUGGAUGCCCUGGCAGUCAGAGGCGAUGAAGGGCGUGCUAAUCUGCGAUAAGCGCCGGUAAGGUGAUAUGAACCGUUAUAACCGGCGAUACCCGAAUGGGGAAACCCAGUGUGAUUCGUCACACUAUCAUUACGUGAAUACAUAGCGUAAUGAAGCGAACCGGGGGAACUGAAACAUCUAAGUACCCCGAGGAAAAGAAAUCAACCGAGAUUCCCCCAGUAGCGGCGAGCGAACGGGGAGGAGCCCAGAGCCUGAAUCAGCAUGUGUGUUAGUGGAAGCGUCUGGAAAGGCGCGCGAUACAGGGUGACAGCCCCGUACACAAAAGCGCAUGUGCUGUGAGCUCGAUGAGUAGGGCGGGACACGUGGUAUCCUGUCUGAAUAUGGGGGGACCAUCCUCCAAGGCUAAAUACUCCUGACUGACCGAUAGUGAACCAGUACCGUGAGGGAAAGGCGAAAAGAACCCCGGCGAGGGGAGUGAAAAAGAACCUGAAACCGUGUACGUACAAGCAGUGGGAGCACAGGUUUACCUGUGUGACUGCGUACCUUUUGUAUAAUGGGUCAGCGACUUAUAUUCUGUAGCAAGGUUAACCGUAUAGGGGAGCCGGAGGGAAACCGAGUCUUAACCGGGCGUUAAGUUGCAGGGUAUAGACCCGAAACCCGGUGAUCUAGCCAUGGGCAGGUUGAAGGUUGGGUAACACUAACUGGAGGACCGAACCGACUAAUGUUGAAAAAUUAGCGGAUGACCUGUGGCUGGGGGUGAAAGGCCAAUCAAACCGGGAGAUAGCUGGUUCUCCCCGAAAGCUAUUUAGGUAGCGCCUCGUGAAUUCAUCUCCGGGGGUAGAGCACUGUUUCGGCUAGGGGGCCAUCCCGGCUUACCAACCCGAUGCAAACUGCGAAUACCGGAGAAUGUUAUCACGGGAGACACACGGCGGGUGCUAACGUCCGUCGUGAAGAGGGAAACAACCCAGACCGCCAGCUAAGGUCCCAAAGUCAUGGUUAAGUGGGAAACGAUGUGGGAAGGCCCAGACAGCCAGGAUGUUGGCUUAGAAGCAGCCAUCAUUUAAAGAAAGCGUAAUAGCUCACUGGUCGAGUCGGCCUGCGCGGAAGAUGUAACGGGGCUAAACCAUGCACCGAAGCUGCGGCAGCGACGCUGAUGCGUUGUUGGGUAGGGGAGCGUUCUGUAAGCCUGUGAAGGUGUGUCGUGAGGCAUGCUGGAGGUAUCAGAAGUGCGAAUGCUGACAUAAGUAACGAUAAAGCGGGUGAAAAGCCCGCUCGCCGGAAGACCAAGGGUUCCUGUCCAACGUUAAUCGGGGCAGGGUGAGUCGACCCCUAAGGCGAGGCCGAAAGGCGUAGUCGAUGGGAAACGGGUUAAUAUUCCCGUACUUGGUGUUACUGCGAAGGGGGGACGGAGAAGGCUAUGUUGGCCGGGCGACGGUUGUCCCGGUUUAAGCGUGUAGGUGUGUGUUCCAGGUAAAUCCGGUUCACUUUAACACUGAGGCGUGAUGACGAGGCACUACGGUGCUGAAGCAACAAAUGCCCUGCUUCCAGGAAAAGCCUCUAAGCAUCAGGUAACAUCAAAUCGUACCCCAAACCGACACAGGUGGUCAGGUAGAGAAUACCAAGGCGCUUGAGAGAACUCGGGUGAAGGAACUAGGCAAAAUGGUGCCGUAACUUCGGGAGAAGGCACGCUGACACGUAGGUGAAGUGAUUUACUCAUGGAGCUGAAGUCAGUCGAAGAUACCAGCUGGCUGCAACUGUUUAUUAAAAACACAGCACUGUGCAAACACGAAAGUGGACGUAUACGGUGUGACGCCUGCCCGGUGCCGGAAGGUUAAUUGAUGGGGUCAGCGCAAGCGAAGCUCCUGAUCGAAGCCCCGGUAAACGGCGGCCGUAACUAUAACGGUCCUAAGGUAGCGAAAUUCCUUGUCGGGUAAGUUCCGACCUGCACGAAUGGCGUAAUGAUGGCCAGGCUGUCUCCACCCGAGACUCAGUGAAAUUGAACUCGCUGUGAAGAUGCAGUGUACCCGCGGCAAGACGGAAAGACCCCGUGAACCUUUACUAUAGCUUGACACUGAACAUUGAGCCUUGAUGUGUAGGAUAGGUGGGAGGCUUUGAAGUGUGGACGCCAGUCUGCAUGGAGCCGACCUUGAAAUACCACCCUUUAAUGUUUGAUGUUCUAACGUGGACCCGUAAUCCGGGUUGCGGACAGUGUCUGGUGGGUAGUUUGACUGGGGCGGUCUCCUCCUAAAGAGUAACGGAGGAGCACGAAGGUUGGCUAAUCCUGGUCGGACAUCAGGAGGUUAGUGCAAUGGCAUAAGCCAGCUUGACUGCGAGCGUGACGGCGCGAGCAGGUGCGAAAGCAGGUCAUAGUGAUCCGGUGGUUCUGAAUGGAAGGGCCAUCGCUCAACGGAUAAAAGGUACUCCGGGGAUAACAGGCUGAUACCGCCCAAGAGUUCAUAUCGACGGCGGUGUUUGGCACCUCGAUGUCGGCUCAUCACAUCCUGGGGCUGAAGUAGGUCCCAAGGGUAUGGCUGUUCGCCAUUUAAAGUGGUACGCGAGCUGGGUUUAGAACGUCGUGAGACAGUUCGGUCCCUAUCUGCCGUGGGCGCUGGAGAACUGAGGGGGGCUGCUCCUAGUACGAGAGGACCGGAGUGGACGCAUCACUGGUGUUCGGGUUGUCAUGCCAAUGGCACUGCCCGGUAGCUAAAUGCGGAAGAGAUAAGUGCUGAAAGCAUCUAAGCACGAAACUUGCCCCGAGAUGAGUUCUCCCUGAGACUUAGAGUCUCCUGAAGGAACGUUGAAGACGACGACGUUGAUAGGCCGGGUGUGUAAGCGCAGCGAUGCGUUGAGCUAACCGGUACUAAUGAACCGUGAGGCUUAACCUU
Molecule: ribosomal RNA, 2908 nt
Filed under: Salmonella enterica
Lineage: Bacteria; Pseudomonadati; Pseudomonadota; Gammaproteobacteria; Enterobacterales; Enterobacteriaceae
Description: 23S ribosomal RNA
Rfam family: Bacterial large subunit ribosomal RNA
Source: RNAcentral